UGGGGAAUAUUGCACAAUGGGCGAGAGCCUGAUGCAGCAACGCCGCGUGAGGGACGACGGCCUUCGGGUUGUAAACCUCUUUUAGCAAGGAAGAAGCGAAAGUGACGGUACUUGCAGAAAAAGCGCCGGCUAACUACGUGCCAGCAGCCGCGGUAAUACGUAGGGCGCAAGCGUUAUCCGGAAUUAUUGGGCGUAAAGAGCUCGUAGGCGGUUUGUCGCGUCUGCUGUGAAAACCCGAGGCUCAACCUCGGGCCUGCAGUGGGUACGGGCAGACUAGAGUGCGGUAGGGGAGAUUGGAACUCCUGGUGUAGCGGUGGAAUGCGCAGAUAUCAGGAAGAACACCGACGGCGAAGGCAGAUCUCUGGGCCGUAACUGACGCUGAGGAGCGAAAGGGUGGGGAGCAAACAGGCUUAGAUACCCUGGUAGUCCACCCCGUAAACGUUGGGAACUAGUUGUGGGGUCCAUUCCACGGAUUCCGUGACGCAGCUAACGCAUUAAGUUCCCCGCCUGGGGAGUACGGCCGCAAGGCUAAAACU
RNAcentral lists this ribosomal RNA (536 nucleotides) under uncultured bacterium. RNAcentral describes it as "partial 16S ribosomal RNA". It matches the Rfam family "Bacterial small subunit ribosomal RNA", at positions 355 to 901 of the family's 1533-position model. The record is from RNAcentral.